Long non-coding RNA from Cucumis sativus (cucumber), 607 nucleotides. RefSeq lists it as uncharacterized. The record is from RefSeq and is a predicted model, not a curated record. Lineage: Eukaryota; Viridiplantae; Streptophyta; Magnoliopsida; Cucurbitales; Cucurbitaceae. The transcript is spliced from 3 exons.
GUUGGGUAAUCCUCUUGCCUUACCAAUUUUUUUAACAACCAGUAAAGGAUAAAGAGAAAAUGGAAGAAACCCUAAUCCAUGUCUUUUUUAUUUUCUUUUCAUUUUUCUCUCUCUCUUUUCCCCUUUUCCUGCGUGAUGAUAAUCUUCUGUCUCUGGCAUCCAUUUCAUCCAUUUUGAAAAAGAUCCAUGGUGUCCACCCACGUGGAAGAUAUUCCACCUCUGUUGUUGGAUGCCACCGUCGAAUAACCUCCUCUUAUUGGUUGGAACCACCAGUGGUAAGCUGUCAUUAAUUACAGACCAUCAAAGGAUGACAGUGAUGAGCAAAGCUACUUGAUGGUUCUAUUUAUGUACUUUAUGGAUUAGUUUAAUUGGGAAACGUUUGAUAAGUUGAUAUACAACAAGAAAGAGUAGAAAUGUAGAAAAAACGGAAGAAGAAAUGAAAAGAAAAACAACCAAAAAGAAAGCAUCCUAAAAAUGAAAAAGAAGAAAGAGAAAAGAUCAGUUGAAGAAUAGAGGAAGAAAAAAAUAUAAAAGAUACAUAGAAAAGUUGCAAAAAGAAGAGAACAUUUAAGAUCAAAAGUGGUAAUUUUACACCAUUAUCACAUAA